UCCCCGAGCGCGCCCUGCGGGCAAGGGGGCGUAGCCGCCGCCCUCCGCGUGGCGGGAGCGCGGAGCGGGGCGGGGUUUGUUCCUCCUCGUGCCCCGUGCUCGGGGGCGGCGCGUGCGUGCCGGCCUCCUCAGCCCCCGCGGGCGGGCGCGGCUCCGCCACCGCACUCGCCCUCAGCAGCCGCCGGCGGCUGCCCGGACCCUCACCCGCCCCUCCGGCCCCGGCUGCCGGCGCAGGUCGGUGCCCGUGCGCUGGGGCAGACCUCGCAGGGGCGCGUAGGAGGCCGAAGCCCGGCUUUUCGCUUGCCGUGGGGACUUCGGCUGAGGAAAUGUGAACUCUCCAGGAGUGUUGUUAUGAUUCAGUCACUGUUGAGAAAUAGCUGCGAAAAAAGUAAGAAAACAAGCAACGAGGUUUUGUUCCAGAAAAGAUUCUCCAAGGACUUCAUCCGAGAGCUUACACGUGCCUUCCUGACAGCAGAGCUCCUUGGGGGAAGGCUGUUGGCAGUUCUGUGUUUGAUAGAAAAAGAUAUGCUAACUUGUCUUGACAGAAACUGCGGUUCAUAUAGAUGUGAGUGUAAUAUUACUGAGGUUUUUCUGGAACAUGAUUUCUGAGUAACCAGCAGACAGCUCCUGAGGCCUGAAAUGUAAUGCUGGUGAUGUGUAGAAAAGUACUUUUCCCAGAUUAAAAAAAAAAAAAAAAAGCUUCAGUCUGGUUUUGACUGGCUUUUGAACAGGUUGUAUAGUUCCCAAGCACUAAUGAGUUACAUUCCAAGUCAGAUGUAACAGAAAUAAACAUGUUUGCUAAAUAAAUAAAACUUACAUGAUUAUGCUGUCAAGUUUUCCUCUGUUCCCAGCAACUGUCGUGAUCACUCAAGCCAAAUUAGGUAAAAGGUGUAGAGAUGUAAGAGAUCUUCAAUUUCUACAGAUUCUUGGUUCGUGAAAAUGACUGGAUUUAUAAAAGAGGAAGCAUGAGUUAAGUGUCCCUUUUCCUGGAGAAGCAGGGUUAUCCUGUCCAUGCAGUCAUUCCUAUACAGAAGUCAGUGGCUCUAUCCUGUCAGUUGGAAUACACAGCUCCUGACCAGUCAUGGUCUGGGAUAGGUGGGAGAGGGGGGGAAGGCAAGGUAAAGCCCUGGGGACCCAGGAGGAAGCCAAGUGCAAUGGAUUUUGCCCUUUUCCCCCUGAAACAUAUAGGGGGAGAGAUUCUAAUUCUAUUUAGUUUAUGAUCCUGAGGGUUCUGUCGAAGCUGGAGGGGUUGUAAAGCCAUUUGCUGGAUUUGCCUCUUGCUUUGGCAGCUUCAUCCAGGCACGAGGCAUUUAAAAUUCUGUUGCUUAAAAGUGACACUGUAACCAGAGCAAACAUCUCCAGCUUUUUGGUGGUGAGGCUGAACAGUAAUAAUGAGAGCUGUAUUAUGAUAUUCCAGUCUGGGCACUCAGAGCCUUCUUCAAAAAUCUGCUGUACACAAGCAGUGAGCUGGCCUUGAAGUCCUUGCAGCUGCACCAACAAAAAGCAUUUGGAAGAGAAGAUGGAGAUGUUGAGACCACAGUCAAGGUUGGCUCAGCCAGUGGUCCAGGUGCUUUAAGGUAGCAGAAGAAUGGCGAUUAGAGCUUGUUGACAAAAGCCAUUUUUGAAAAUUUAUAAUUAAUCCUGUUGGUUUAGGCUGGCACGAAGCCAGCAGUUCACGUGGUUUCAGUGAGAUGUGCCCUAUUUAUUGGGGGUCAUUGGGGGUAAAAGUACCUCGUUUCUAACACUUGAGGUGGGACUAUGAUGAAUUUUUCAGUACAGUUUUUAAAAAAUGUGAACACACCUGCAAGGAUUAUUUAUUUGACAAAAUAUUAUUUAAUAAAAGUGAUUCCGAGGAGCACAAAAAAAUGUAUGGAAUAGUUUGUCAGCGUGAAAAACUCCUGUUCUCGCUUUCUAAUCUGAGCAUGAGCAAUGUCACUGUGUUUCGGUUAAAACUGAAUUCUUGAUUAUAGCUCAGUAUUUUUAGUGAUCCUACAAAGUAGGUGGAGGUGGCAUUCAUGAGUUAAAUGCCUGAUUAUUUAUAGAAUGCCAUAGUUCAUUUCUCUUCUUUUUAAAAGUUGUGCAUGUGUUCCUGACUGUGUAUUUCACUAUGUAAAUAAAUGAUACCAUGUAUAAAGACUUGAUUUGACUUUGUAUGACUGAUGUAACUCCCAAGUAUUAGGUUGUAAUUAGUUGUUAUAGUGUGAAAGGUGAAUAAUUUGUUUGGUAUGGAAAAAAGAACUUGGUAGUUACCAUAAGUGAUGACCUGGGCUUUUAUAUCCUCUGCUGUCUCCCCUUUAUGUCAGUGGUGACUUUGCCACUACUCUAAAAACAAACCGUGCGGCUGCCUGUACGGGUGCUUAGAGCAGCUGCCUGCCUGGAGAACAGCAACAUGCAUGUCUGCUCCUCAGGGAGGCAAAAAGCAGUACGGUAAAUUCCCUUGAUCUACGCUUUUCUAUUAAUAUUCACAAUUACUGCAGCCAUCACCAAGCAAAACCUAGUUUGAUUCUAACGAACACCAUGUAGCGUAAUUGCCUUCCCCAGCGCGCGUCUCUGGCCGCUGGGGUCGUUGCUGCAGGCCAGGCGUCUUCUGCUGCUCGAAGGAUCCGGCACCUCCAACCCACUCCCCGGCCCGCUCCGGUAUCUGCUG
Tyto alba (common barn owl) is the source of this 2647-nucleotide long non-coding RNA. RefSeq lists it as uncharacterized. NCBI's taxonomy places the organism in Eukaryota, Metazoa, Chordata, Aves, Strigiformes, Tytonidae. The record is from RefSeq and is a predicted model, not a curated record. The transcript has 2 exons.